This 1011-nucleotide unclassified non-coding RNA is filed under the name Rhopalosiphum maidis (corn leaf aphid). RNAcentral's name for it is "kynurenine formamidase, transcript variant X1". Lineage: Eukaryota; Metazoa; Arthropoda; Insecta; Hemiptera; Aphididae. The record is from RNAcentral.
AUGGACGGAAAAACUAAAAGUAAUGAAAUUCUAUACACACCAAGCUCAUGGUGUAAACGAAUGCAUCCGGAUAUGGUAGUCAAUAAACAUAUUGAAAUAGUUCAGUUGAUUAGUGAACAAAUUAAGAAAUCUAGGUAUCAUAUAAAAACAAAUAUUAGAUAUGGACCUGGUGAUCAACAGCUUUUAGAUGUAUAUGAAGAUGAACUGACUUCUUCGGAUUAUACUUUUGUUUAUAUUCAUGGAGGGUAUUGGCAAGACUUAAACAAAGACAUUUCUGCCUAUUGUGUAGAACCAUUGGUAAAUUCUGGAAUUCGAGUAGUUAUUCCUGGCUAUGAUCUUGCACCAAAAGUUACUCUGUUUAAUAUAGUCGAGGAAAUUCAUCAAUUGUUGUCAUAUUUAAAGGAUUGUUUAAAAUACAAAAAUAUUUGGUUGGGAGGGCAUUCAGCAGGUGCUCAUUUAGCUUCAUCUAUGAUUCAUACUGAAAUAAAUGAAAAUAUUGGUGUUAAAGGAUUUAUACUCAUCAGCGGUGUAUUUGAUCUUAAUCCAUUAUUGGAGACAUCUAUCAAUAAAGCACUGAAGCUGAACAAAGAGACUUGUCUACAACUAAGUCCACUGAAUAAUCUCUAUGGACUUGAUUUUACACAUAUUAUGGCAAAGUUUCAUGUACAAGUUCUUGUAGUUUACGCAGAAAAUGAUUCUCCAGCUUUCCAUUUUCAAUCAAAACAGUUUGCCAAAUUUCUGGACAAACUUGGUUUAGAAGUAAUAGAAGAAAAGAUAAAUGGAGUAGAUCAUUUUGAUAUUGUAGAGAAUCUUUCAAAUAAAGACUAUUCUCUUACAAAAAAAAUCAUCAAUUUUAUUCUAAACUAAUAUACUUAGGUAACAUAUAGCCAUGUGCACAAAGUAAAUUAGUAUUAAUGUAUUAUUAUGUGGAUACUGGAUAGUAAUGUAAGUUUGCAGAAUGCCACCAAUGAGCGUUUUUAUAAGCGUUCAAAAUUCUUACAUCUCCACCAG